RNAcentral lists this ribosomal RNA (204 nucleotides) under uncultured bacterium. RNAcentral's name for it is "partial 16S ribosomal RNA". It matches the Rfam family "Bacterial small subunit ribosomal RNA", at positions 1297 to 1500 of the family's 1533-position model. The record is from RNAcentral.
AUUGCAGGCUGCAACUCGCCUGCAUGAAGUUGGAAUUGCUAGUAAUCGCGAAUCAGAAUGUCGCGGUGAAUACGUUCCCGGGCCUUGUACACACCGCCCGUCACACCACGAGAGUUUACAACACCCGAAGUCAGUGGCCUAACCGCAAGGAGGGAGCUGCCUAAGGUGGGGUAGAUGAUUGGGGUGAAGUCGUAACAAGGUAUC